Molecule: ribosomal RNA, 1343 nt
Filed under: uncultured bacterium
Lineage: Bacteria
Description: 16S ribosomal RNA
Rfam family: Bacterial small subunit ribosomal RNA
Source: RNAcentral
GACGAACGCUGGCGGCGUGCUUAACACAUGCAAGUCGAACGGUAAGGCUCCAGCUUGCUGGGGUACACGAGUGGCGAACGGGUGAGUAACACGUGGGUGACCUGCCCUGCACUUCGGGAUAAGCCUGGGAAACUGGGUCUAAUACCGGAUAGGACCGCACCGUGAGGGUGUGGUGGAAAGUUUUUUCGGUGUGGGAUGGGCCCGCGGCCUAUCAGCUUGUUGGUGGGGUAAUGGCCUACCAAGGCGGCGACGGGUAGCCGGCCUGAGAGGGUGGACGGCCACAUUGGGACUGAGACACGGCCCAGACUCCUACGGGAGGCAGCAGUGGGGAAUAUUGCACAAUGGGCGGAAGCCUGAUGCAGCGACGCCGCGUGGGGGAUGACAGCCUUCGGGUUGUAAACUCCUUUCACCAUCGACGAAGGGUUUCUGACGGUAGAUGGAGAAGAAGCACCGGCUAACUACGUGCCAGCAGCCGCGGUAAUACGUAGGGUGCGAGCGUUGUCCGGAAUUACUGGGCGUAAAGAGCUCGUAGUUGGUUUGUCGCGUCGUCUGUGAAAUUCCGGGGCUUAACUCCGGGCGUGCAGGCGAUACGGGCAUAACUUGAGUACUGUAGGGGAGACUGGAAUUCCUGGUGUAGCGGUGAAAUGCGCAGAUAUCAGGAGGAAACACCGGUGGGCGAAAGCGGGUCUCUGGGCAGUAACUGACGCUGAGGAGCGAAAGCAUGGGGAGCGAACAGGAUUAGAUACCCUGGUAGUCCAUGCCGUAAACGGUGGGCGCUAGGUGUGGGUUUCCUUCCACGGGAUCCGUGCCGUAGCUAACGCAUUAAGCGCCCCGCCUGGGGAGUACGGCCGCAAGGCUAAAACUCAAAGGAAUUGACGGGGGCCCGCACAAGCGGCGGAGCAUGUGGAUUAAUUCGAUGCAACGCGAAGAACCUUACCUGGGCUUGACAUAUACAGGAUCGCGCCAGAGAUGGUGUUUCCCUUGUGGCUUGUAUACAGGUGGUGCAUGGUUGUCGUCAGCUCGUGUCGUGAGAUGUUGGGUUAAGUCCCGCAACGAGCGCAACCCUUGUCUUAUGUUGCCAGCACGUUGUGGUGGGGACUCGUAAGAAACUGCCGGGGUUAACUCGGAGGAAGGUGGGGAUGACGUCAAAUCAUCAUGCCCCUUAUGUCCAGGGCUUCACACAUGCUACAAUGGUCGGUACAGUGGGUUGCCAGUCCGUGAGGGCGAGCUAAUCCCGCAAAGCCGGUCUCAGUUCGGAUCGGGGUCUGCAACUCGACCCCGUGAAGUCGGAGUCGCUAGUAAUCGCAGAUCAGCAACGCUGCGGUGAAUACGUUCCCGGGCCU